AUUUAAAGAGCACAGGCCUGGCUUAUGACUUUUAACUAGAAUUUGAUAGCAAUAAUAAGCUUCACUCUGAAGCAGUCUAGCUAAAAGCUGCCUGUGUAUAAGAAAGCAAAAGCGGUUAGUAGAACUAGUUGAAGAUGGAUGCCCCGCCGGUCUAUCAAGAGGUGUCUUACUACGAUCAUGUUAAGCAGCGACAUGCGGAUAAAGGCUGCCUCUAUGCUUGUUUGUUCGCGGCGUGUUGCUGUUUCUGUUGCUACGAGACAUGCGAGUGCUGUUUGGAUAUCAUCUGCUGCAAGUGUUUCUAAAAUCUUCUUGGUCUACUGAUUCAAUUCUCUCUUAAUUUGUGCCCGUGAAGCAAACUAUGUCGGUCCUGUUGUUUUUAGUUUUUUGAGCUCCUUCAGCUUCUUGGUUUGGUUCAAAAUUGAGACUUUAACCGGUCUCAGGUGUUAAAAAGAUUGUCAGACUCAUAUAAACUGUUCUCCCUUCGUAAUUAAUUCCUUCUUCGUGCUUGAGCUGAAUGAUUCUGCAUUUACACCUCUCACUAGUUUAAGUGCCAUCCAAUCCAUUGUAGUAAAGCAAAGUUCGAGCUUUACACCUUGCGACGUUUCAUAAUAAAAGCUCACGUUGAUGAAUA
Molecule: non-coding RNA, 631 nt
Organism: Coffea arabica (coffee)
Lineage: Eukaryota; Viridiplantae; Streptophyta; Magnoliopsida; Gentianales; Rubiaceae
Source: RefSeq, a predicted model, not a curated record